CGCAUUCCUAUAAGCUUCAAAAAUUCUUUCAACUUAUUUUUAAAUGACUUGUUUUGAGAGUCUAAAGGGCCAUGUACUUUCUUACCAACUUAUGUGAGAAGAUAAUAGUUUACAGAGAAAUUCAGUGAAGCAGUUAAAAAAAAGCUUAAAAAAAUUUUUUUAAAGAGUAGAGCAGUAAUAGUGAUGUCAAACAGUAUCCCUGAGUUUCCACUCCCACUUAAACCAGCCCCAGGCCCAGCAUGGCCGUUUCUCCUCGUCAGCCAGAAGGAACAGGAGAGUGAAAAUCAGUCCUGUAUUUCACUGACUCUUAGACACACUUCUCUUCACCACCUGUUAAUAAAAUAUCCCCUUGGAAGGGAGCCAGUCUUCUCUCAGGCAGUUCAGACUUUCUGAAAUAGAGGAAAAUUGCAAAGGGAAGGUAGCAGAGGAAUAUAGAAGUAAAAAAUUAACUUUGGGGGG
This 459-nucleotide long non-coding RNA is filed under the name Bos taurus (domestic cattle). Its description in RNAcentral is "long non-coding RNA NONBTAT016813". The record is from RNAcentral. Lineage: Eukaryota; Metazoa; Chordata; Mammalia; Artiodactyla; Bovidae.